This is a long non-coding RNA of Lycium barbarum (goji berry), 337 nucleotides long. RefSeq lists it as uncharacterized. The record is from RefSeq and is a predicted model, not a curated record. Lineage: Eukaryota; Viridiplantae; Streptophyta; Magnoliopsida; Solanales; Solanaceae. The transcript has 2 exons.
AGAUUGAAGUUGAAGGGAUUGAAGGACAUUAUGAUACGCUCAAAAGCGGGAAGUUAAGGUACGGAUUUACAGGACGACGCUUCUGAUCAUUAGGAUUUGCUCGUAUCAGCUUAUUGGUGAGCCCCAUCUCAUUCGGGGUUUAGUCAACUUUUACUUUAUGAUUAAUUAUGCAUCUAAAGGUAUGCUGGGGGCCUUGUCCCAGUGAGUAUGUUUUUCCAGUCAGACUCAUGGUAGAGGUUUCAUAGACUAGACAAGUCAGUUGUGUUAUGUCAGACAUUUGGAGUCGUAUAGCCAUUUUGGCUCACUUAUGCUUAAACAAGUAUUUUAUUAAGUAUUA